GACGAACGCUGGCGGCGUGCCUAAUACAUGCAAGUCGAGCGGACUGAAUGGGAGCUUGCUCUUGUUCGGUCAGCGGCGGACGGGUGAGUAACACGUGGGCAACCUGCCCGCAAGACCGGGAUAACUCCGGGAAACCGGAGCUAAUACCGGAUAACACCGAAGACCGCAUGGUCUUUGGUUGAAAGGCGGCGCAAGCUGCCACUUGCGGAUGGGCCCGCGGCGCAUUAGCUAGUUGGUGAGGUAACGGCUCACCAAGGCGACGAUGCGUAGCCGGCCUGAGGGGGUGACCGGCCACACUGGGACUGAGACACGGCCCAGACUCCUACGGGAGGCAGCAGUAGGGAAUCUUCCGCAAUGGGCGAAAGCCUGACGGAGCGACGCCGCGUGAGCGAAGAAGGCCUUCGGGUCGUAAAGCUCUGUUGUGAGGGACGAAGGAGCGCCGUUUGAAGAAGGCGGCGCGGUGACGGUACCUCACGAGGAAGCCCCGGCUAACUACGUG
RNAcentral lists this ribosomal RNA (499 nucleotides) under uncultured bacterium. Its description in RNAcentral is "partial 16S ribosomal RNA". It matches the Rfam family "Bacterial small subunit ribosomal RNA", at positions 28 to 507 of the family's 1533-position model. The record is from RNAcentral.